Molecule: long non-coding RNA, 442 nt
Organism: Salvelinus fontinalis (brook trout)
Lineage: Eukaryota; Metazoa; Chordata; Actinopteri; Salmoniformes; Salmonidae
Exons: 3
Source: RefSeq, a predicted model, not a curated record
UGUGACGCAAGUGGCCGAAUAUGUUUGUGACGUUCCAUGGAACCCACCGUAUUGUUUAAAACUAGAUUCUGAUUGGCUUGCAGGUCAUUCUACAGUGUAAAUUAUAAACGAAAACGUGCUUUCAUAUCAGUGUUACAGAUUCACAAUACUGAGCGUGUCUCAACCUGUACCGCGCUUUUAUCUGCCUAAAGGUAUCUUCACGCACGACUGGAUAGGCCUUUUGGAUACGCUUGUCCAAGGCCCAAGACAUAAAGUCGCCUGAAAGCUGUGUAGCAAUCAUUCCAGCUCCUGACCCAUAGGAUGGUAAUCACAUACAUGAUUGGCUUAAUCUAGAAUCAUGGAUACCUUUCAUACCUUCUCAUCACAAGUUGGAACUAGUGGUCAACAUUGGGACAAUGCAGCCAUAAAUAACAUGGACCAAUAUUUUCAUGGAGGUAAGCAC